AUUAGUUCGAGCGAUUUUAUUUUGAAAACUGAACGUUUUAGGGGGGUCAAAGGAGUUGACUUUUUAUACAUUGGGAAAUUGGGAAAACUUCCUUCAUGAAAGUUGUAGAGCGCGUCGAUACGAGUUCGUGGACAUAUGGAACGUAAUAUUCGGAGUUCGUAUGAAUAAGUUACGAAUAUUUGAAAAUUGGGAUUUUCUAUAAAUAUGAAAAAAAAAUCCGAAUAUUGCAAAUGAGGACAGAAUUUCUGGAACUCCAGAAAUUUCUCCCCAUUUCUCUCCCGAGCCCAGCCGCGACCCCCUCCCUUCGUCACCUUCGUUCUUCCUCAUCCGGCCACCGAUUGAUGUGAAACAAAGUGGGUUUUUCUGGUCUCGACCCCCUUUACGAGUUUGUAGAAGAAAUCGAAGUGAAAUACGAGCUGUAUGAGGCUCUACAAGGUCGAGAAGAGAGCCUCGUCGGAGACGAAAUCGCUCUUCCCCACUUUUUCUGGGCUCUACUUUGUCUGGCCAUAUCUUCCUCUACAGGCCUCCGAUCGACCUGAUUCCAAAAGCAAUUUUUCUCACCGUGAAGUUUUCUACAACUUUCCAGAAGACAUCAACUUGAGAUAACCAUCGUGGUGGCCGCUAGAAGACCGAGAAGCCGCACAGCCGAGCUGGAAAUCGUCUUCCUUCGCCACCUUGGUUCUCCCAGCUCCGGCCACUAUAGCUCGAGUUCUUUGAGGGCUUUUCUAGCCCAGAGGAAGUAGAAGCUAUCCCCACGAAGGCUUGCAGCGAUUUGAUCCGGGGUGAUCGAAUUUUGAAGAUUGGGAAACUAGGGUUCUUCGGGUUUCAAAACUUGCGAGGUGAUUGACGGUCUCCCUUGGGUGAACGAUUUCGGUGUGUAUUGUGUUGAAUUGAAGACGCAGCGGGAAUAUCGAGCGGGUAAUCCUGCAGGUCAGGAGAAUCAGGGCGGUGAUCGAGCGGGUUAGAGUAUUUGUUAUAGUUUUACAGCAUUUGUAAUAGUGAGGUGAGUUAAGCUCAUUGAGCCUUACAAUUUGAUUUGGUGAGAGUGUGUUGUAAUAAUUAACUUGAGGAUUUGAUUUAUUGUAAUAUUGAGAGGUGUGAAGUGUGGUUGUUUGUGAGAAAAAAAUUCAGGACGUUUAUUCUA
Molecule: long non-coding RNA, 1144 nt
Organism: Rosa rugosa (rugosa rose)
Lineage: Eukaryota; Viridiplantae; Streptophyta; Magnoliopsida; Rosales; Rosaceae
Exons: 3
Source: RefSeq, a predicted model, not a curated record